GCGGGGUUAGUACAUCGGUAGUAUGUCAGCUUCCCAAGCUGAAGAGGCGGGUUCGAUUCCCGUACCCCGCUCCA
RNAcentral lists this transfer RNA (74 nucleotides) under Oscillospiraceae bacterium. RNAcentral describes it as "tRNA-Gly". It matches the Rfam family "tRNA". From Rfam's summary of the family: Transfer RNA (tRNA) molecules are approximately 80 nucleotides in length. Their secondary structure includes four short double-helical elements and three loops (D, anti-codon, and T loops). The record is from RNAcentral. Lineage: Bacteria; Bacillati; Bacillota; Clostridia; Eubacteriales; Oscillospiraceae.